CUGCGGAGGGAUCAUUACCGAG
This 22-nucleotide ribosomal RNA is filed under the name Fusarium oxysporum. Its description in RNAcentral is "partial 18S ribosomal RNA". Lineage: Eukaryota; Fungi; Ascomycota; Sordariomycetes; Hypocreales; Nectriaceae. The record is from RNAcentral.